This 252-nucleotide long non-coding RNA is filed under the name Mytilus galloprovincialis (Mediterranean mussel). Lineage: Eukaryota; Metazoa; Mollusca; Bivalvia; Mytilida; Mytilidae. The record is from RNAcentral.
CGAUGCAAGACGUAACGGCCAUACUACCAUGACGGCCAUAGGAUGAAACGGCCAUACCCCGAAAAGAUGAAACGGCCCUAGUACAAAAACGGCCAUACUUUGAAAAGACGUAUCGUCCAUGGUUUUUUUUUUUUUUUUUUUUAGAUGUUAUAGAUGAAUUAUUUUGAUACUUAUACAUGGUUAUUAUAACUUUUAAAUAAACUAUACUGUUUUUACAUUAUUUUUCAUCUUAAUUUUUGUUAUAUCAUUUGU